CACUUCUAAGGAAGGCAGCAGGCGCGCAAAUUACCCAAUCCUGACUCAGGGAGGUAGUGACAAGAAAUAACAAUAAACCGGCUUAUGCCGGUUUAAUUGGAAUGAGUACAAUUUAAACAUCUUAACGAGGAACAAUUGGAGGGCAAGUCUGGUGCCAGCAGCCGCGGUAAUUCCAGCUCCAAUAGCGUAUACUAAAGUUGUUGCAGUUAAAAAGCUCGUAGUUGGAUUUCUGUGGGGACGGAGCGGCCGGCCGCAACUCGCGGUUCGAGCUAGCGCUUUCCCUACAUCCUGCCGCGAACCGUGCUACCAUUAGUUUGGUGGCGCCGGGGAUCGGCUCGAUUACUUUGAGAAAAAUAGAGUGUUCAAAGCAGGCCACACGCCUUGAAUAAGUUAGCAUGGAAUAAUAACUAAGGACUUCGGUUCUAUUUUGUUGGUGUUCGGGACUGAAGUAAUGAUUGAUAGGGACAGUUGGGGCGGUCUGUAUUCCAAAGCGAGAGGUGAAAUUCUUAGACCUUCGGAAGACAAACAGCUGCGAAAGCGUUCCGCAAGGAUGUUCCCUUUGAUCAAGAACGAAAGUUGGGGGAUCGAAGACGAUCAGAUACCGUCGUAGUCUCAACUAUAAACUAUACCAGCUAGGGAUCGGCCAACGUUAUUUUAUACCGACUUGGUGGGCACCUUAUGAGAAAUCAAAGCAUCUGGGUUCCGGGGGGAGUAUGGUCGCAAGGCUGAAACUUAAAGGAAUUGACGGAAGGGCACCACCAGCCGUGGAGCCUGUGGCUUAAUUUGACUCAACACGGGAAAACUUACCAGGUCCAGACAUAGUAAGGAUUGACAGAUUGAUAGCUCUUUCUUGAUUCUGUGGGUGGUGGUGCAUGGCCGUUCUUAGUUGGUGGAGUGAUUUGUCUGGUUAAUUCCGUUAACGAACGGGACCCCAGCCUGCUAAAUAGCACGCGUGAGCUUUGCUCGCGGCGAGCUUCUUAGAGGGACUAUGAUGCGCGAUAGCACAUGGAAGUUUGGGGCAAUAACAGGUCUGUGAUGCCCUUAGAUGUUCUGGGCCGCACACGGGCUACACUGGCGCCUGCAACGAGCAUAUCAGCUGGCCCGAGAGGGUCUUGGCUAAUCUUUUGAACCGGCGCCGUGCUUGGGAUUGACCUUUGCAAUUGUUGGUCAUGCAACGAGGAAUGCCUUGUAAACGCGAGUCAUCAGCUCGCAUUGAAUACGUCCCUGCCCUUUGUACACACCGCCCGUCGCUCCUACCGAUGAAUGUUCCGAUGAAAUUUUCGGAGAGCACCUGUGAACUUGGCUCUGCCUUGCGAACGGGAGGCUCAAAGUCACUUAAAUCUGAACAUUUCGAGG
RNAcentral lists this ribosomal RNA (1356 nucleotides) under uncultured marine eukaryote. RNAcentral's name for it is "SSU rRNA". It matches the Rfam family "Eukaryotic small subunit ribosomal RNA", at positions 411 to 1779 of the family's 1831-position model. The record is from RNAcentral.